Molecule: ribosomal RNA, 440 nt
Filed under: uncultured Acidovorax sp.
Lineage: Bacteria; Pseudomonadati; Pseudomonadota; Betaproteobacteria; Burkholderiales; Comamonadaceae
Description: bacterial SSU rRNA
Rfam family: Bacterial small subunit ribosomal RNA
Source: RNAcentral
GGAAUUUUGGACAAUGGGCGAAAGCCUGAUCCAGCAAUGCCGCGUGCAGGAUGAAGGCCUUCGGGUUGUAAACUGCUUUUGUACGGAACGAAAAGUCUCGGGAUAAUACCCUGGGACCAUGACGGUACCGUAAGAAUAAGCACCGGCUAACUACGUGCCAGCAGCCGCGGUAAUACGUAGGGUGCAAGCGUUAAUCGGAAUUACUGGGCGUAAAGCGUGCGCAGGCGGUUAUAUAAGACAGAUGUGAAAUCCCCGGGCUCAACCUGGGAACUGCAUUUGUGACUGUAUAGCUAGAGUACGGUAGAGGGGGAUGGAAUUCCGCGUGUAGCAGUGAAAUGCGUAGAUAUGCGGAGGAACACCGAUGGCGAAGGCAAUCCCCUGGACCUGUACUGACGCUCAUGCACGAAAGCGUGGGGAGCAAACAGGAUUAGAUACCCUUG